GGUGAGGGGAAGCCCCAGCAAGACAGGACACCCGACAUUCACCCUGCUCAUAUUAGUAGCACAUCCAUCACUGUGUUGGUUAAGGCAAGAAACACAUUUAUUGAGAGCACAAUCGGGUGUGCCAGGCCCCAGGUUGGGCCCUUCUGAACCACAUCACAUGCUCCUCACAACAACCCUGUGAGGUAGGUGUCCGAGGAGACUUCACAGAUGCGGACAACGAAGGCUCGGUGGCUCCCCCAAGUCUCAGGGCUCGUGAGGGGCAGGCAGGGGUCAAACUCGUGUGUCUGACCCUCAGAUCAGUGAAGUCAUCAGUCAGAAGACGGGUGGCAAGGCAGCAGGCAGGCCAGGUAACCACAGACGUGGGCUCAGCAAGGAAAAGCAACCCGUUAGGCAGAGGGCGAGACAGCGGAGCCCAGGGCAUGAGCCAGGUGACUCGGCACAGAGGAGGGGGAAGUGGGCCAGGCUGAGCAACAGACUAUGGCAAGCAGCCUCAGGUGGGCAGUCCACCUGACCGGUGGAGAGCCAGGGGAGGGGCCGCCAGGCAGAGCAGAACAGAGCAGGUGGGCAGCCGGCAGAAGCGGAGCCUGCAGAGCUCCCCCGAGGGUCCUAGCCAUCUGUCCUUUGCAUGAGACAGGCCCCAGCCAAUGCCUGGGGGGCAAAGGAGCUGGUUUUAGCCCCAGUGAAGGAAGGCAUCUUGGAGGGAGGGGUCCAAAUCACACACCUCAACUCAAGAGGGAGACCUUUGUGGCCAGAGCCCGAAAGGACACACACCACACUGUCCUAUAUUCCCACCUUGGUCCUGAGUUCAGGGCCAGGGGUCCAGGACAGUCAUCAGCACUCAGCGACAGGAUGGAGUGCGGGAGGCAGAGAGAGCAGGCGGGGCUGGCUCGGACCAGCGGCAAGCACAGGCAGUCUGAGGUUCCUCUGGGGUUUGAAUUAAAGGUUCCAAAGGAAGUCCAGCCAGGCCCGCCCCUCGCACCGUCCUGCAUGCCUACUACAGAGCGGGGAAUCCACCGCUCCAGCGCCUGGGACAGCCGUGAGGCCGCCUGUGGCAGAAGCAACCCCCCGGCCUGCCCUCCCAGGGGUGCAGGCCAGCCCCGGGCCGGGACAGGGAGUUGUGAGGUUCAAAUGAAUUGUCGGUUGCCAGAAAGGGCUCUGCAUACUACACAGGAGACAGAAACGGGCACCGUAAUUACUCACUGGUAGCGGGACGCUCAAUUUUACAGCCCACUCCAAUCUCACCGGGGCCUGGACUUUCACUGACCAUAAAUUAUGCGUCCUUACAUUAAGGAUGUAAAAACCAGUGGUAAAAGCUCCUGCCAGCCUCUGGAAGACAAAAGGUGGCCUCCUAAUAGCCUGGAUUAACUCAAAGCAGAUCUCCGCCCACUUCAUUUGUCACCUUCCAAGUCAUCCUUCCACCUUCAUUUGCCACAUAAUCCAAUCAGGCCCUUUCAGAUGCCUGGGAGCUAUUGUCCACACCAAGCUGGGCUUCUGCAAGGCGGCCUGAGUUGUUUUUGUCUUGUCCGGACAAAACUGGUUGGCUUAAAAGGGGACGAAAGAAAGUGCUGGUCAAAUGAGGACCCCAAUUAGCUUCCAAGAGACUGUUUUCAUCAUCUUUGUAUCACAUCCCAGGCCUGGUGUGCUGGGCAUAUUGUCAGGGUUCCAGAAAAUGUUUGUUGAAUUAAUUCCGUUUUUAUUUCUUCUGGAAUUUACUUAUGGAGUGCAAACACACACAGCACCUACUGGGUGCUGGCUGUUACUACUGCGGGAGAAGAGGGCUGGGCAUGUGAAGGACGGAGGACAGCCUCCGGGGGAUAAGUAUCUCGCAAUUUCCACAGCAAUUUACAAAGCACUUUCAUAGCAGUUACAUCAUUUGGUCUUCAAAAGCGCCCUGUGGGGUAGAUAAACGCGGAGGUUUUUUUUUUUUUUUUUUUUUAAUCCCCAUUUAGACCAUGAAAGGAACUGAGACUCGGAGAAGUUAAGCGACUUGUUUAAGGUCACACUGUUACUGGGAGGUGGAGCCAGCACAGGGUACCAGCUCUGGGGCCACCCAGACCCCAAGACCACCCUGGGCAGCUGGGAUUUCAAAGAGACUGUCCCUUUGUCAAAUGUCUGACUGGACGUCAAAGGGCUUUUAAUAUAACUCUGGGCUAGGGGGUACAGGGCGGCUACAAUGGCACCCAGGAUCCAACUAUGACCUCUUCUCUUGCCAGCAGUGUGACAAAAUACUUACAUCCCUCCAGCCUCGGCGUCCAUCCUCACUGCCAACGUGGGUGACCCCUAUCCCGUGGGAGGGGCACUCAGCUUUCAUGAGUCCUCUUCCCCACCCACCUUUUGAAAAUUACUCAAAUCAAUGACAAAUUCAUUCUCAUCUGUAAAUGAGGCCGCCUCAUACACAUACUCCUAUGACAUAGAAAGAACAUUCAUCUACAUAGAAAGUGCUCUGGAAAUGACCGCAUGCAUAAUUCGUAUUCCUUCAGGUCAGCCCAGGACCCUCUGGUGGAGCCCCUACCUGAUGCAAGGAGAGCCUGGGGGACAGGGGCUGUCCGGAGUGCUGUGGGAGAACAAGUACGACAAGUGAGAGAGGUAGGAAUGGAUUGACCUGCCAAAUUUUUUCAACAAACAUUUGCUGACCGCAUCCUCUAUGCCCAGCCCUGCCCAAGGCUGCCUUCUCUCAUUUAAUACUCACAACAACCCUAGGAGGUUGCACUUCUCAUCCCCAUUGCCCAGAAAGGACGGGGGAUCUCGAAAGAGGGGAGCAUGCCUUUGGCAGUUCAGUAGCAUGACAUGAGGGCUCAUGCUCAUUCCACAAGCCCACCCUGGGCCUUGGAAUCGCCAGUGAGAUGCUAGAGGAGCCUCUGGCCUAGGUCCCCCUCCUGAGGAGUUCCCAAAGGGAUCUUUCCGUUCAGGACAUCAUAAGGGCAACAGCAGGGUCAGUGGAGAAAGACUGACGCCACCCUGAGGGAAGCGCUCCAGGUCGCCGGCACAUUAACACAGCAGAGACUUAUGGGAAAGUAUUCACAGAGACCAAGCACAAGCGUAGCAAAGAUCAGGGGUUAGCAGCCAGUGCCCCCUCACUAGGGCACUGGUUCAAGCCUUUAGCCAAGAGGGACAGCUGGCUUGUCAGUCCUGGUCCUCUUCAUCCCUCGUCGUCCUGGUCCUGGGGGUCUCUGCCAGCGGCUGCUUUGUAUGCUGGGGGGAUCCAGGAAUCGGUGCUCCUAGUGUCCUC
Molecule: long non-coding RNA, 3229 nt
Organism: Equus caballus (horse)
Lineage: Eukaryota; Metazoa; Chordata; Mammalia; Perissodactyla; Equidae
Source: Ensembl